GAUGAAGAACGUAGCGAAAUGCGAUAAGUAGUGUGAACUGCAGAAUUCAGUGAAUCAUCGAAUCUUUGAACGCACAUUGCGCCCCUUGGUAUUCCAUGGGGCAUGCCUGUUCGAGCGUCAUUUGUACCUUCAAGCUCUGCUUGGUGUUGGGUGUUUGUCUCGCCUCUGCGUGUAGACUCGCCUCAAAACAAUUGGCAGCCGGCGUAUUGAUUUCGGAGCGCAGUACAUCUCGCGCUUUGCACUCAUAACGACGACGUCCAAAAGUACAUUUUUACACUCUUGACCUCGGAUCAGGUAGGGAUACCCGCUGAACUUAAGCAUAUCAUAAGCGGAGGA
RNAcentral lists this unclassified non-coding RNA (336 nucleotides) under soil metagenome. RNAcentral describes it as "partial contains 5.8S ribosomal RNA, internal transcribed spacer 2, and large subunit ribosomal RNA". The stretch from base 1 to 120 matches the Rfam family "5.8S ribosomal RNA", at positions 35 to 154 of the family's 154-position model. The record is from RNAcentral.